GGACAGCACCCCUGCCUCUGGGAGCUCAGAUACAGUGAUGCUUCAGGAACUGUGGACCCUCGGACCCAGCCCCUGUUAAUGUUGAAGGACCAGGGAAUAUGAAGCUAGGUAGCUGCAGCUGAGGCUCUAGUUAAGGACUACGCAAAGCGUGUUGGAGAAUGUGUUUCCAGCUCACCAAAGUAAAAAAGACUACCCGACCGCACAGACUCGCAGUCUAGCUGAAAUGGAUCUGAAAAAAAGAACUGGUGCCGUUAAUUUAAACCAAAUCUCCCAAGAGCCAAGACUACAGGAUCAGAGCUCACCAAAGGAGAUCACAACACGGGUGAACCUGAGAACCUUCUGUAAAUACGCCAGCUAUUUAAUAUCACUUGGAACCUGCAAGUUAGGUAACAUCCAGAUCUCCUUCCCAAACGAAGGGCCGUGGCACAGGUGUCCUUGGAUGACCUGAAACUCACAUGGACUGGCCUGGCUUUGGACUUCCAGAGUGCUGGGAUUAUAGGCAUGUGCCACCACGCAGAGUUCUGUUUUGUAUUUUGAGACAGGGCCUCACUUUGUAACCCAUCUUGAGUUACAGUAAGCCUCCUGCCCUGGCUUCUAGAGUGCUGGGUUUUCAGGUGGAUACAACCACACCCAGUUUACUUUCUGUAUCUUAGGAUGUUUUGGCAUUUCCCAAAGCUUGAAGGCUUUUACGGUAGAUCAUCUUUGGGGGCCUCAAAAUGCUCUCUACCAGGGGCAUGGCUAUUUUGAACAAACUAACUAGUCCUGAGUCUGUAUUCCUGACAACUUCCUGAUUUAAAUCUCACACUCAAGCCAGUUUCUCUCUUCUCCUAACUCACCCAGAGCCAGGUAUCAGGCAACAAGCCACCACUUAUGUAUCCAAACCCACUGAACUGUUCCAGUUUGCCAUCGCUUACCUGCCCAAGUUUGCCUCUCCCUUAGAAAUGCCAGCAAAGGCUCCACCUCAGACUUUACUCCACAUUCUGCAUUUUUGUUUUAAGAGCUUGGGCUACUCUGCAACUUUCCAUGUAGCCUAAUGACCUUGAACUUGUGAUUCUCCUCUGUCAGGCUCCUGAGUGCUGAGAUUGCGCGUUCACAUCUGCAUACUGAGCCUCCCCCCAUCAACCUGUGUUCUACUGCAUCAAACAGACUUGGUGAUCGCCCUUGGCCCUGCCUAGCCAUGGGGCACCCCCUUCUCUGGGUAGGAUCUGCGACUGUAGAACCAUCUUCCAGGUUUCCUUCUGGUCCCCUCCCGGGGCUAUUACCAUCCCACCUUCAGUGUCUGCAUCCUUAGCAAGUACAGGUGUCUAGGAAAGUGGCCAUGAGGACACACAGAUGAUAAGCCAAAAGUCUUAACUCACCUCAAGAAAUAGAUGAAAGAAACUCGGAGACUAUUGGGAAUUCUCCUCUUUAUGAUCCUCUUAGUGGGGGGUGGGGAGUGGGGCUGGCAACAGACUUGACCACAGGAGUCAGAGGUCCUAGGAUCUGAUGACUUGGUCACUAUCUGUCACACCAAUAAGCCUUCUAGAAAAAAAAAGACAAGGAGUUGCUAUUAAAAAAGGAUACUAGGGGCUCAAUGGGUAAACCGUGAUGACUCAAGUUCUGUCUCCAAGACGCAUACGUUAGAACUUGUUGACUCCUCCAAGUGUCCUCUGAUCUCCACAUGAGGCUUGCUUGCCCACGGCCAACACACAGAAAGGAAUGAAUGGGAUAAAACACUCAUAGGGAAGGCAUUAGGGCUGCGGAACAAACGCAGCUGGCAGGGUGCUGCUGCCCCAGUGUGCAGAAAGCCACGCGGUCCUUCUGCCGAAACUCACAAAGGCAGUUCGGAGCUCAGGCCUGUGCUCCUGCACUCCCGAGGAUGGGGCAGCUGGGGCAGUAGUUGUCUUCUCUCGGGACAUAGUGAGUCCUUUGCUAUCCAACAUGGCUACAUGAGACCACGAAAUGCCAUUAAAGGCUCUCUAUCUGAAUCUGAAUCUGAAUCUCUGCCCAUUCUCAUUCUUUUUAAUCUCUCUCUCUCUCUCUCUCUCUGUGUAUGUGUAUCCAAUACCUGACAUGGUGGAUGGAUGGUAGGCCGCAGGGCCUCACUGAGCGUCAGAUCUUGGUUUUGACCUUUCUUGAGGUAGGGUCUCUUGAUGUCCUUUGCAUAUGCCAGGCUAGCUGAUCCAUGAACUCCGGGUACCUCCUCUCUCUGCAGGCAACCUCCU
RNAcentral lists this long non-coding RNA (2204 nucleotides) under Mus pahari (shrew mouse). RNAcentral describes it as "lncRNA (MGP_PahariEiJ_G0005380.1)". The record is from RNAcentral. Lineage: Eukaryota; Metazoa; Chordata; Mammalia; Rodentia; Muridae.